UGGUGGAGUGAUUUGUCUGGUUAAUUCCGUUAACGAACGAGACCUCGACCUGCUAAAUAGUUCGACAAAGGAUUCUUUCCUUUGGUACGUGACUUCUUAGAGGGACUAUCGGUGUGUAGCCGACGGAAGUUCGAGGCAAUAACA
This 144-nucleotide ribosomal RNA is filed under the name uncultured eukaryote. RNAcentral describes it as "partial 18S ribosomal RNA". It matches the Rfam family "Eukaryotic small subunit ribosomal RNA", at positions 1299 to 1458 of the family's 1831-position model. The record is from RNAcentral.